RNAcentral lists this non-coding RNA (29 nucleotides) under Rattus norvegicus (Norway rat). Lineage: Eukaryota; Metazoa; Chordata; Mammalia; Rodentia; Muridae. The record is from RNAcentral.
UGUGAUGCAGAGUACUCCUGGGCCAAUCA